AAGAGAUUAGUUGAGUGGUUUAACAGCAUUUUUACACUAUGCAGACAGAGUUUCGAUUACUCUAUCUCUUA
Molecule: transfer RNA, 71 nt
Filed under: Russula foetens
Lineage: Eukaryota; Fungi; Basidiomycota; Agaricomycetes; Russulales; Russulaceae
Description: tRNA-Val
Rfam family: tRNA
About the family: Transfer RNA (tRNA) molecules are approximately 80 nucleotides in length. Their secondary structure includes four short double-helical elements and three loops (D, anti-codon, and T loops).
Source: RNAcentral